AGUGUAUAGAUUUGCAAGAAAAUUAGCUUUAAAACAGCAACAUUUUCUCUCUGCCAACAAGAGGGGUGUGAACAGUUUGUGUCGUGAACAGUGCUUGUGCCCAUAGAAAUGGACGUGGGUUGUUGCCCAAUGCUGGAAGCGGGGCCUGAGUGAAAAGGUUUGGGAACCUACAGCCUACAUGAUGUCAGUACAACAACAAGAAUGAUGUCCCAUUAUGUGAUCACUGUGACAGCUGUCACCUAUGACCUUUUACACAUUUAAAAAGCUUCCAUCUAAACAACCCCCACUGACCCACAUGAGUGUUUCACCGCACCCUUCCUAGAAAAACUGGAGAAGUCUGUUUCUGGUAUAUCUCCCUCCUAGUCGAUUUGUAGCAAGGGAUCUAUAUGACUGGUUUUGCAUUUAGGAAAGUUCUGAUCUCAUGAUUAUCUUAUUGUCACUCCCUACAGUAAUUUCCUCAGUGACUACCACAGAAAGACAUGUUAAUUCAUGUUCAGGCUUUAGGCUAUAUGAAUCCCCCUCAACGAGAUAGCCCAGUACUGUAGCAUGUAAGCUUUCUCUUGCUUGAGUGUGCAUACGGAAGUAUUAUUUUUGGCUUUCAGUACAGAUAUGCCAUUUCUGUAUAAGGAAGUUCUAAUAAUCUAAUAUCCUCUUUUUUUUAAAUAUUUACCCCUCUUCAAUCCUGAUGCAGGUGGUAAAGUCAAACCAAAGAGUAAAUACACCAGACAUGAACAUCACCAAAAAUACAUUUAGCAUGGAGGACUCUGGUCGAGGAGCCAGCUACACAGUGCCCUGUGACGACUACGUCCAUGUGGUGGAGUUUAGCCCCUUUGACAGUGGCUCAGUUGCGUCCCUCUUGGCCUAUUGAGGAAGCCAAUAUGUGGUUGUAGGCACCUGCCGCUUCCAGGUGAGUGGUAGCCUGCCAGAUUCCUCUUCCUCAUGUCCUCUUUUCUAGCCUCCCUUCUCAAAAGGCAUCAGAAGAGAAGAUCCUCCCAAGGUUCUUCUCUGAGGAAGCAUGGAUAGGGGACACAAGGAAAUGAGCCAGUGUUUUGGUUCCAUGUGUGAUGUAAACCACUGCUGUAUGUGUGACGUUAACCACUGUUUGUGCAGGAGGAGGACAUGGAGGAAGUGGGGGUUGAAUUCACCACACUGCGUUUUUUCCAUUAUGCGUUACGUAUGUAUUGCCUCGCAUGGAGCCCUGAGUCUCGGCUGGACAAGCUGCCCCAACUCAUCAGAUUUUGCACUGCUGCAGCAGACAGAAAAGUGAGGCUGUUGACUUCUGAUCUUCAGAAUCAACAUGAAGUCAAGGUGAUGGAGGGUCACACCAGCUACAUCAACCACUUAGUGUUUGAACCCACGGAGGGGAAACAAAUGGCUUCGGUCAGCGAUGACCAUACAUGCAGGUCAGUCCGAACCUCCUCCCGGUCUCAUUCAGCAAGAAUAAUAUGAGUGUGUGAGAGUGUGUCUUCCCCCAGCUCUUGGAUCUGUGUUCUGUUCUCUGUUAAUGGUGCAGAACGUCCUGACUGUGUUUCCAAAAUGAAACCCAAUGCUUAGCACAACACACCCCGGUGUUGCCGUGCGUAAGCACACAGCCGCUUCUCCAGCUUUUUAAAGUAAUUGGUUAAAUAUGGAAAUCCAAUUAGCUGCGGUACUGGUGGAGGUUGUUCCCCUCCUUAGGGUUGACUCUUAACAAGGUCCCCCAAUGUGGCCUAUCAAUCAGUAGCUAGGUAGUGGAGCAAGGAAGGAAAGAGUGUGUCGUUAGCCAAAGGGGUAACCUGGGCACAGGAGGUUGGUGGUACCUUAAUUUGGGAGAGCGAGCUCAUGGUAAUGACUGGAGCAGAAUCAGUGGAAUGGUAUCAAAUCCAUGGUUUCCAGGUGUUUGCUAUUCCAUUAGCUCCGUUCCGGCUAUUAUUAUGAGCCGUUCUCCCCUCAGCAGCCUCCACUGAACCUGAGGGGACCUCCUGUUACCUUAGUAACUAGGUUGUUGCUAGGGUCUAGACAGGGCGAAAGCCUGGCCCAAAUCUUACUCCCUCUUUGCUCCUUCCCACACAAUGUGAGCUCUUAUUGUUUGACCAGUGAUUGAUGGGGGAGAACGUUUAAUCAAGUUAGCAGCUUAGAAAUUAAUGACUGGCCCCUACUUUUCUCUCCGCUAGAGCCUGAAAGAGCACGUCCCUCAUAUCCAUCUUUAAACCCAAAGCUCCCUGGAUGAGAAACACACCUGAAACAUCUGCUUCUAUUCAUAAACUCAUAAUUUCAGGAGCCUGAAGCUCGCGGUUACACUUCCAGUCAUCAAAUACAGGCCAUGGUUGAAUUAUCUCCUCAAUCUCCUUCCGCCCUGCUUAAAUGCUCUAAAGUGUUGGUUAGGAUGAGGGCUGUGGGGAGAGAGAGGCCUCCGCUAGGGCUGGUGAUGAAGCUCUGCUACUGCGAGAAACAUCAGCUCACAGUUCUCCCUCAGCCUCCCUCUAUAAUGGUCUGGCCAGAGAAAACAGGGGUACGCUCUCUCGGCUCCAUCUGCAGAAAGAUUUAAAUUCUGUCACGUUGAGAAAAUAUGGGACGCAGGAGAAAGAGGGGUGGAACUAGGGAAAGAUCAAGUUAACAGGAGAGGGGCCUUCCAGGCAGCCCACACAAACUGAGACCCCUGAUAGGGUGAGAGAAAAGAACAGUGGACCGGCUUCUCUACUUGCGUGCGUGUUCGUACACUUGGCAAGUUGUCCUACCAUAACUCUGCUUUGUUCUUUGUCAGCCCUGUCCUUUCCUGCGUGGGAACUCUACUCCAGCCGGAGAGGCCACCUGUAGCAGCUAGAAGGAGGUCACAGCCUCCCACUGAGGUCAGAGUGUCUGCCAGAGGUCCCAACCUCUCUGGGCUCGGCUCCCAUUGUGGCUCAUAGCUUCCAGUUGGAUUUGCAGUAGCUGAUGGUGGCCGAGAAGAAGGGACGAUCCACUUCUAUGACCUGGUUACCCAGCAAGCCAUUCUUUCUCUGGAUUGCGGCCAGUCGCCACUUAUGUCGGCCGACUGGUGCCUCGCCAACACCAUCAAGGUGGGCGCGGUGACGGGCAGCGACUGGGUCAUCUGGGAUAUUACCCGCUCCAGUUACCCACAAGAGAAGAGGCCUGCCCAUGUAGAACGAGCAGGAAACUUCAGAUAACUGCUUUGUCCAUGCUUCCAAGGUCAUUUCUAUCUGGUAUCAUUGGGAUGUCCCUCCCACAUUGAAAUUGAAAUGUUAAAUGGUUAAGGUAAGGGUUAUGGUUAGGGUUUAGGGUAGGAAUGUCCCAAGGAUCCUGAAUGCUUCCAAUUACUCUGACCUUCAGAGUAUUGUGAUGCAUGUUGUGGUUGUCCGGCUGAUACCGCUGCUGCCGACGACGUCCAUGUUAAUGGCUGUGGUGAUGGUGAUAAUGGUGAUGGCAAUUACUGUAACCACGGGUGUCAUGGUCUUCCAGGUGUUCUCGGGUCAAUGAGAAUCUCUUAUCCACCACAGGAUGUCCAGGCAAGAUCAGCAGUGAGUUGUGUGUUUGGCUGUUUGCAUUUACACAGUGUGUCAGUUUCUGAGUAAUAAAAGUGUGGGAAUAAUGUUCAGUGUGGAAGUAAGGAUAACAUAACGUGCUUCCUGGUUUCUUAUGUUUAUAUGGUGGUGUUGUUGCAGCCCGUGAUGAUUGGAUCAGCCACGGUGGGGGCAGAUCUAAACUGGCAGAGAUCCCUCCCACUCUUUGUCAUUGGCGGUGACCGAAAGUUAUCUUUUUGGAUGACAGAAAUGUAAUGCACUCACUUCCUAUGGACGUAUUAGAGGUCAUGCAAAUGUACAUUGAAACUGUUUGACCCGAGGUGUGGUCGGAUAUUUCUAUUUUCAUCAUUUUUCAAUAAAGUAUUUAAU
This is a non-coding RNA of Oncorhynchus mykiss (rainbow trout), 3869 nucleotides long. NCBI's taxonomy places the organism in Eukaryota, Metazoa, Chordata, Actinopteri, Salmoniformes, Salmonidae. The record is from RefSeq and is a predicted model, not a curated record.